ACGAACGCUGGCGGCGUGCUUAACACCUGCCAGUCGAACGGAAAGGCCCUGCUUUUGUGGGGUGCUCGAGUGGCGAACGGGUGAGUAACACGUGAGUAAACUGCCCUUGACUUUGGGAUAACUUCAGGAAACUGGGGCUAAUACCGGAUAGGAGCUCCUGCUGCAUGGUGGGGGUUGGAAAGUUUCGGCGGUUGGGGAUGGACUCGCGGCUUAUCAGCUUGUUGGUGGGGUAGUGGCUUACCAAGGCUUUGACGGGUAGCCGGCCUGAGAGGGUGACCGGCCACAUUGGGACUGAGAUACGGCCCAGACUCCUACGGGAGGCAGCAGUGGGGAAUAUUGCACAAUGGGCGGAAGCCUGAUGCAGCAACGCCGCGUGCGGGAUGACGGCCUUCGGGUUGUAAACCGCUUUCGCCUGUGACGAAGCGUGAGUGACGGUAAUGGGUAAAGAAGCACCGGCUAACUACGUG
This 467-nucleotide ribosomal RNA is filed under the name uncultured bacterium. Its description in RNAcentral is "partial 16S ribosomal RNA". It matches the Rfam family "Bacterial small subunit ribosomal RNA", at positions 29 to 507 of the family's 1533-position model. The record is from RNAcentral.